Molecule: ribosomal RNA, 424 nt
Filed under: uncultured prokaryote
Description: bacterial SSU rRNA
Rfam family: Bacterial small subunit ribosomal RNA
Source: RNAcentral
UGGGGAAUCUUGGACAAUGGUGGCAACCCUGAUCCAGCCAUGCCGCGUGAGCGAUGAAGGCCUUAGGGUUGUAAAGCUCUUUCACCGGUGAAGAUAAUGACGGUAGCCGGAGAAGAAGCCCCGGCUAACUCCGUGCCAGCAGCCGCGGUAAUACGGAGGGGGCUAGCGUUGUUCGGAAUUACUGGGCGUAAAGCGCGCGUAGGCGGGCUGUUAAGUCGGGGGUGAAAUCCCGGGGCUCAACCCCGGAACUGCCCUCGAUACUGGCAGCCUAGAGGAUGAGAGGGGCGAGUGGAAUGCCGAGUGUAGAGGUGAAAGUCGUAGAUAUUCGGAGGAACACCAGUGGCGAAGGCGGCUCGCUGGCUCAUUUCUGACGCUGAGGUGCGAAAGCGUGGGGGGCAAACAGGAUUAGAUACCCCUGUAGUCC